UAGUUCCAGAAUACUGGUUCCCUGUCAUUCUGUGUAGCUGAUCCAGUACACGGGCUGUUAUACUGUAAGGUAGUGCUUGACUUGGAUGAGACUUUAGUUUCUGCAUAUGAAUCAUCUAG
Molecule: long non-coding RNA, 119 nt
Organism: Zea mays
Lineage: Eukaryota; Viridiplantae; Streptophyta; Magnoliopsida; Poales; Poaceae
Exons: 3
Source: RefSeq, a predicted model, not a curated record